GACGAACGCUGGCGGCGUGCUUAACACAUGCAAGUCGAACGGAAAGGCCCUGCUUUUGUGGGGUGCUCGAGUGGCGAACGGGUGAGUAACACGCGAGUAAACUGCCCUUGACUUUGGGAUAACUUCAGGAAACUGGGGCUAAUACCGGAUAGGAGCUCUUGCUGCAUGGUGGGGGUUGGAAAAUUUCGGCGGUUGGGGAUGGACUCGGGGCUUAUCAGCUUGUUGGUGGGGUAGUGGCUUACCAAGGAUUUGACGGGUAGCCGGCCUGAGAGGGUGACCGGCCACAAUGGGACUGAGAUACGGCCCAGACUCCUACGGGAGGCAGCAGUGGGGAAUAUUGCACAAUGGGCGGAAGCCUGAUGCAGCAACGCCGCGUGCGGGAUGACGGCCUUCGGGUUGAAAACCGCUUUCGCCUGUGACGAAGCGUGAGUGACGGUAAUGGGUAAAGAAGCACCGGCUAACUACGUG
RNAcentral lists this ribosomal RNA (468 nucleotides) under uncultured bacterium. Its description in RNAcentral is "partial 16S ribosomal RNA". It matches the Rfam family "Bacterial small subunit ribosomal RNA", at positions 28 to 507 of the family's 1533-position model. The record is from RNAcentral.